GCAGCGGAAGGAGGAGCACGUCCCCUUGGACCAGGCUGCGGUACCGGAGUCCGUUGGCAGGUGCGCCCCUGGCCUCAUUCUCUCUCUCGAACGCUCAUCCAGGGCAGCUUGCACAUGAGAAGUCCAGGGGACACCGACGCUGGAUUGGUUUCAAGUGUGUCUCUGACAUGGCACAGGAGUCCAUGAUGUGUCUAAUAUAUUUGGACUUUUGUCAGGUAGGCGGUGAUCAGCUGGACCUGGAGGACUUGUGUUCCAAAGAUCAAUGGUGCAUUCUAGAUCUAAUGGAGGAUGUGGUGAGUGAGAUAAUUAGUAGUAUUCUGUAGAAGGCAGUGUACAUAGAUUGUAACUGUAUUGAGUUUUGUGUUGUCACUGCAGCUCGUUUAGCGGGAGAUGAGUCGCGUGAUGCUGCAGGUCGCGUGGGAGGAGAACAAGCAUCAGAGGUGCGUCUCUUUCUCUGAUGAGUGCAGUAUGGAAACCAGGGUCAAACAUUUUUCUCACAUGGACAAUUGUGGAAAAUGUUCAGGUGUUUCUGAAAGAUGUCACGGAAUUAAGUUUGCAAGUGGGGUUCGUUAGACACAGGUGGAAGGCGAAAUGGGAGAUAAAUUCCCGAAGAAGGCUGGAUUAAAGCAUGAAGAGCUAAAUGCUCGAGACGUGCUCACCUUCUGUGAUAAUAUGCUAUCAUGUACUGGCAGGGAGUUUAGCAAGUAGGUGCUCCACAAUUAAAAAUUCGGCGGGUAGACUUCAUCAUGGGACCUGGUAUGUGCGCCUGUUGGUGGAAGCUCCAGAUCAGGGUAAAGGCGCCUCCUCACAUGUUUGUGUUUGUGCUGAAUUGUUAUUUAUAAUGCUGUCAAGUCGGGGAUCUUGUGCUUCUCGUUGCUAGAAAUUGUGUUGAAGCUGCAGAUUCGACUGUCGUUGUUACAAAUUUAGUCGCGGGUUAUAAAUUUGGACUGAGAUGUUCGUUGGUAUGGUUAAGUGAUGAUUCGAGGGUUAUGCUUUACACUCAGUUUGGCAUUGGCAUGGAAUUGUUUCUGUUGUUGAUUUCUUGCAUGUAGUCACAGUUGUGUAACUUACGGAAGAGUGGUCUCACGCUUAUUUUGAUGUU
RNAcentral lists this long non-coding RNA (1102 nucleotides) under Triticum aestivum (bread wheat). RNAcentral describes it as "long non-coding RNA (TAES_LNC017350)". The record is from RNAcentral. Lineage: Eukaryota; Viridiplantae; Streptophyta; Magnoliopsida; Poales; Poaceae.